RNAcentral lists this long non-coding RNA (641 nucleotides) under Bos taurus (domestic cattle). Its description in RNAcentral is "long non-coding RNA NONBTAT000197". Lineage: Eukaryota; Metazoa; Chordata; Mammalia; Artiodactyla; Bovidae. The record is from RNAcentral.
GUAAAAGUAUUGUAUCUGAUAAUUUCUACAAUUUGUCUUGUAUUUUUCUAAUUGAUUUAGAAUCUUCUCAUGAUAUCUCACUUUUUUUUGAUAUCCCAAUGAAAUUACUUGGAUAUGUGAAAUUUAAUUUAAGAAAUUGAAAUUUCUUAAAUUUCUGGUGUGACAAAUUUUAUAAAUGCUUAUUGCGAUAAUGUGCUUUGGUUUGAUGUUGUGAACUCUUGUAGUAGAUACAAUAGGGUUAAAAUGUGGAACAUCUUGAAGAUUAUAUGGAAACUGAAGAAGUUACUGGUUUGCUGAGAGAAAAACACUGAUGAUAAGCUUUGUAACAAACCCUUUUAGAAGUGACCAUGGAAAGAUGAUAAAUGAUAUUUACCUCAUAUGUCAUGAUAACUGGUUUUUAAAGAAGAUAUCUGUGCCCUCUUUUAUCGUGGGUAAGGGGAAAUGUAUCACUUACAAGCACUCAAUCACUAUGACAUAAAGAAAUAGCAAACCUUGAACAUGUCAAAACAGUGCCUGUUCACUCUUCUUUUCUUGAAAGCUGAGUUUAUUCUCAAUAAUAUAUUCCCCAAAUAAGUAGUCUUUAAAAUAUGAUGUUUAUUUUAUGGUAAAAUUUUGUAAGAUGUAUAAGAAGGUAUCUGAAC